UGCAACUGAAACCGUCUUGUCAAAAAUAACUGUCGGAUUUUCGUGUUAAUUUUUUAAAGUUUCCUUGAUAAUAAUGAAUUAUUGUAAUACUAAAGUAUAUCUGUUCAAAAUAGCAGUUUUCAACAUAAUUUUAUAGUUUCUAAUUACGUGAAUGUGCUGUUAGUGCUACGUUUAUCUGAAUUCACAAACGUAAGUGCUCUUGACUCAUGACAAUGAACUGAUGUGCUCAAACAUUGACAAAAUUCUCGUUCUAUCUACAUUUUAGGUGUAAAGAAACAAUUGGAGCUUGGCAUAGGCAACUGAUUCACUCCUGUCGUGGACCACAGCUUUCAAAUAUGGCACUUGACAGGUAUGGACCAACAAAUUGGUGGAGGAGAGACUUGAGACGAGGUCUGCAAUGCAUUGAUGAAGCCAGAUUGUUGGAGAUUGAGAUACAUGGAUGCUGAUUUAUGAGCUUUCCAUCCUGGUGUGACCUGAGUCAUAGAUCAGAGCAGAGCCUUCACGUGUGCUUGUUGACAACAGCUGGUUGAACGAUCAGUUGUUGAGGAUUAUAAGGGAGGGGGACUCUCGACUGUGGAAUGAAGAACUAGACUAGUUCCUGACAGUGAGCAGAAUGGGAGAGAACGAGGGAGAAGUUGAAGAUCAUCACUGCAUGUCUCCGGAACAUUCAAGCGAGCGAAGUGAGUUCUCACCACCUGAGAUCAUCACUGAUGUGUCGCCGAGCGAAGUGAGUUCUCACCACCUGAAACCAUCACUGAUGUGUCGCCGAGCGAAGUGAGUUCUCACCACCUGAGAUCAUCACUGUCGCCGCGCGAAGUGAGUUCUCAUCCCCAGUUGCAGUCUCCAUUCAUCUGGAUUGCGUGGACACAGAAGAGAGGGGAAUGAUGGCCAGCUCCACAGAAGAAGACAAAUGGAGGAUAUCAAGAAGAAGCAGAUUACAAAGUGACAAGUGCAGAAUGAUAAGACUCUAAUUUAGUGCAAUGAUUGAUUUCAAGUGAAAAAUUCAAGUGUGAGAAUGAAAGGACUCUAAUCUGGUUUCACUCACACCGAGGACAUUGAAAUGUUUUGUUGUUGUGUUAUGUUUUUCAGCUUUUGCUUGUUUUAUGUUGUAAGAAAUAAAUGAGCAUGGGGUGUGUCCUAUUUUGGGGUGGGGGCUUUUCAGGCAUCUAUGCUGGCUGGUAGGAGAAGGAGGAGGAAAGGAGAGGACAUCGCAGAACUUCAAAAAAAGGUAAAGUCCGCUCUCAAUUGAUUUUAACAGUUCAAUCAAAUUCUCUUUCCUCAUACUAUUCACAUAAUUUGCAAUUUAUUUCAGUUUUCAUCAUUUCAAUCAUCUGUCUUUAAAGUAUUUUAAAUUUUCAUACAAGUGUUUAAUUAUUAUUUACAAGUGGCAUCGUUCGAUGUAGCUUGUGAAGCUUCUUCUUUUGAAUCAAUUUUUUUAAAAAAUACAUUCAAUUUGUAAAUACGUCAAUUCUAAAGUCUGACUUUUAUAAUAAUUAAAAGUUAAUAAUAUAAAUGUAUUAUUGUUGAACUGUUGAAUUCGGUAGUGGGCGACUUGUGUGGAAUAGGUGAUGCAUGUCUAGACCAUCAACCCCUUUUCAGUAGAUUCUCUUCAGUUUUUCUUUCUAUCAGCUUUGGUAUUUGAACCUUUAAUUCUUUUUUCUCAUUGUUUAUAGGAAAUGUCCCUUCCAUUUUUUUAGUUUCAGGUUUUUUUUAUUUGCUUUGGAGGCGAACCUUCAGUUCAAAUUCAAUAUCGAAGUAUAUGUCGAUACAUGGUUAUUUUUUAUUUUCUUGAAUUUUUAGGAAAUGUCCCUUCCAUUUUUUAGUUUCAGGUUUUUUUUAUUUGCUUUGGAGGCGAACCUUCAGUUCAAAUU
RNAcentral lists this unclassified non-coding RNA (1871 nucleotides) under Nilaparvata lugens (brown planthopper). Its description in RNAcentral is "uncharacterized LOC111056978, transcript variant X11". The record is from RNAcentral. Lineage: Eukaryota; Metazoa; Arthropoda; Insecta; Hemiptera; Delphacidae.